AGGCAGAAGCGAAGGCAACAAGAGCGGGGGAGCAAAUCACAGAGAAAUGGAAACAUGAUCUGACUCUUCGAGCAAGUGUUGCUGCUAAGGCACGAUAGAGGAAAUUAGAGUUGCUGUUCCUGUCCUGGUCUGAUCAUCAUAAGAAGCUUUUCAAUUUUCCAAGGAGACAAUGGACAGGGAACGGGAGACGUACAAGUUGGGAACAUAGGUCCCAAAACAAGGAGGAUACCAGGAGUCGAUGAUGCCUAAGAGAAGUCGUGGAGGAUUUGACUGCUGAAGAUGAGCUAAUGGAUGGAAGUCCUUCAGGUCCAUGAGAGGAUUGAUGGCGAUCCACAGAAGGUGCCUGAUACCGGUAAUGACAGUUGAAGUCCGGUACUGAUGCAAUAGUUAGAUGUGGUGAUUAGGC
Molecule: long non-coding RNA, 406 nt
Organism: Musa acuminata AAA Group (dessert banana)
Lineage: Eukaryota; Viridiplantae; Streptophyta; Magnoliopsida; Zingiberales; Musaceae
Exons: 3
Source: RefSeq, a predicted model, not a curated record